CUGGUGACAAAUGACCCCAGUGAAGGUCGACACUGGGACAAGGACAAGACAAGUCUGCUCACAGGAAACAAUCCUUCCCUUGAGUAUUACAAGGUGUGCAAUGUCCGGCCACCAUUAACGUAUGCCGCGCUUAUCCGAUGGGCCAUCCUGGAAUCACCGAGCCGACAGCUGCCGUUAAACGAUAUCUACCGCUGGUUCACCAGUCACUUUGCUUACUUCCGCUACAAC
Molecule: long non-coding RNA, 228 nt
Organism: Amblyraja radiata (thorny skate)
Lineage: Eukaryota; Metazoa; Chordata; Chondrichthyes; Rajiformes; Rajidae
Exons: 3
Source: RefSeq, a predicted model, not a curated record